RNAcentral lists this ribosomal RNA (1368 nucleotides) under metagenome. Its description in RNAcentral is "bacterial LSU rRNA". It matches the Rfam family "Bacterial large subunit ribosomal RNA", at positions 1105 to 2351 of the family's 2925-position model. The record is from RNAcentral.
CUUAGAAGCAGCCAUCCUUGAAAGAGUGCGUAAUAGCUCACUGGUCGAGUGGUUCCGCGCCGACAAUGUAGUGGGGCUCAAGUACACCGCCGAAGCCGCGGCAACAAUGUUUUGUUGGGUAGGGGAGCGUCGUGCAUGGUGUGAAGCAGUACCGUGAGGGGUUGUGGACUGUGUGCGAGUGAGAAUGCAGGCAUGAGUAACGAGUGUAAGGUGAGAAUCCUUACCGCUGGAUGACUAAGGGUUCCUGGGUCAAGUUCGUCUUCCCAGGGUGAGUCGGGUCCUAAGGCGAGGCCGACAGGCGUAGUCGAUGGUCAACGGGUUGAUAUUCCCGUACCCGUGUGUGUGCGUCAAGUGAUGAAGCGGUGAUACUAACCACCCUGAUCGCUGGCCAUGGCACUACUUUGUGGUGCUGGGUUGGUGUGAUGCGUGGGGCCUGAGUCGUUGUAGUCAAGUGAUGGGGUGACGCAGUGUGGUAGCCAAGCCACUUAUUGGAUUGUGGUGUAAGCGUGUGGCACGACGGUGUGUGAAAUGCCAUCGUUAUUGUGUGUGAGGCGUGAUGCGUAGCCCAGUGUUGGGUGAUGUUGGUGAUCCUGUGCUGUCGAGAAAAGCCUCUAGCGAGUGUGCAUACGGCCCGUACCCGAAACCGACACAGGUGGUCAGGUAGAGAAUACUAAAGCGGUCGGGUGAACUGUGGUUAAGGAAUUCGGCAAAAUUCCCCCGUAACUUCGGGAGAAGGGGGACCUGUGCUGGUGGCCGCAUUUUUCGUGUGGUGUGCUGGUGUGGGUCGCAGAGAAGAGAGGGGAGCGACUGUUUAUCAAAAACACAGGUCCGUGCGAAGACGGUUAAGUUGAUGUAUACGGACUGACGCCUGCCCGGUGCUGGAAGGUUACGAGGACCUGUUAGAUCCUUUGUUGGGUCGAAGCGGAGAAUUUAAGCCCCAGUAAACGGCGGUGGUAACUAUAACCAUCCUAAGGUAGCGAAAUUCCUUGUCGGGUAAGUUCCGACCUGCACGAAUGGCGUAACGACUCCCCUGCUGUCUCAACCACAGGCCCGGUGAAAUUGCAGUACGAGUAAAGAUGCUCGUUUCGCGCGGCAGGACGAAAAGACCCCGGGACCUUCACUAUAGCUUGGUAUUGGCAUUCGGUGCGGUUUGUGUAGGAUAGGUGGGAGACUGUGAAGCAUUGACGCUAGUUGGUGUGGAGUCGUUGUUGAAAUACCACUCUGACCGUAGUGGAUAUCUAACCUUGGCCCAUGAUCUGGGUUGGGGACAGUGCCUGGUGGGUAGUUUAACUGGGGCGGUUGCCUCCCAAAAUGUAACGGAGGCGCCCAAAGGUUCCCUCAGCCUGGUUGGCAAUCAGGUGGUGAGUG